This 492-nucleotide ribosomal RNA is filed under the name uncultured bacterium. RNAcentral's name for it is "partial 16S ribosomal RNA". It matches the Rfam family "Bacterial small subunit ribosomal RNA", at positions 29 to 507 of the family's 1533-position model. The record is from RNAcentral.
AGUGAACGCUGGCGGUAGGCCUAACACAUGCAAGUCGAACGGCAGCACAGUAAGAGCUUGCUCUUACGGGUGGCGAGUGGCGGACGGGUGAGGAAUACAUCGGAAUCUACUUUUUCGUGGGGGAUAACGUAGGGAAACUUACGCUAAUACCGCAUACGACCUACGGGUGAAAGCAGGGGGUCUUCGGACCUUGCGCGAUUGAAUGAGCCGAUGUCGGAUUAGCUAGUUGGCGGGGUAAAGGCCCACCAAGGCGACGAUCCAUAGCUGGUCUGAGAGGAUGAUCAGCCACACUGGAACUGAGACACGGUCCAGACUCCUACGGGAGGCAGCAGUGGGGAAUAUUGGACAAUGGGCGCAAGCCUGAUCCAGCCAUACCGCGUGGGUGAAGAAGGCCUUCGGGUUGUAAAGCCCUUUUGUUGGGAAAGAAAAGCAGCAGGUUAAUACCCCGCUGUUCUGACGGUACCCAAAGAAUAAGCACCGGCUAACUUCGUG